UACAGAGGGGGCAAGCGUUGUUCGGAAUUACUGGGCGUAAAGGGCGCGUAGGCGGCCUUCUAAGUCGAACGUGAAAUCCCCGGGCUCAACCCGGGAACUGCGUCCGAUACUGGAAGGCUUGAAUCCGGGAGAGGGAUGCGGAAUUCCAGGUGUAGCGGUGAAAUGCGUAGAUAUCUGGAGGAACACCGGUGGCGAAGGCAGCCUCCUGGGCCAACACUGACGCUCAUGCACGAAAGCGUGGGGAGCAAACAGG
RNAcentral lists this ribosomal RNA (253 nucleotides) under uncultured bacterium. RNAcentral describes it as "partial 16S ribosomal RNA". It matches the Rfam family "Bacterial small subunit ribosomal RNA", at positions 524 to 776 of the family's 1533-position model. The record is from RNAcentral.